AUGAACGCUGGCGGCGUGCCUAAUACCUGCAAGUCGAGCGAACAGACGAGGAGCUUGCUCCUCUGACGUUAGCGGCGGACGGGUGAGUAACACGUGGAUAACCUACCUAUAAGACUGGGAUAACUUCGGGAAACCGGAGCUAAUACCGGAUAAUAUAUUGAACCGCAUGGUUCAAUAGUGAAAGACGGUUUUGCUGUCACUUAUAGAUGGAUCCGCGCCGCAUUAGCUAGUUGGUAAGGUAACGGCUUACCAAGGCAACGAUGCGUAGCCGACCUGAGAGGGUGAUCGGCCACACUGGAACUGAGACACGGUCCAGACUCCUACGGGAGGCAGCAGUAGGGAAUCGUCCGCAAUGGGCGAAAGCCUUACGGAGCAACGCCGCGUGAGUGAUGAAGGUCUUCGGAUCGUAAAACUCUGUUAUUAGGGAAGAACAAAUGUGUAAGUAACUAUGCACGUCUUGACGGUACCUAAUCAGAAAGCCACGGCUAACUACGUG
This 496-nucleotide ribosomal RNA is filed under the name uncultured bacterium. RNAcentral's name for it is "partial 16S ribosomal RNA". It matches the Rfam family "Bacterial small subunit ribosomal RNA", at positions 29 to 507 of the family's 1533-position model. The record is from RNAcentral.